RNAcentral lists this ribosomal RNA (258 nucleotides) under uncultured microorganism. RNAcentral's name for it is "partial 16S ribosomal RNA". It matches the Rfam family "Bacterial small subunit ribosomal RNA", at positions 346 to 619 of the family's 1533-position model. The record is from RNAcentral.
GCGCACCAGGCGCGAAUCUUCCCAAUGGACGAAAGUCUGAGGGAGCGACGCCGCGUGAAUGAAGAAGCCCUUCGGGGUGUAAAAUUCUUUCUUUAGGAAAAUUCGUGAUGGUACUAAAGGAAUAAGGGGCCGCCAAACUCGUGCCAGCAGCGGCGGUAAUACGAGUGCCCCGAGCGUUAUCCGGAAUUACUGGGCGUAAAGCGCUAAAAGGCGGUUUGAUAAGUCAGACGUCAAAAUCCUCCGAGCUACAACGUCGGA